This 95-nucleotide signal recognition particle RNA is filed under the name Alphaproteobacteria bacterium. RNAcentral's name for it is "signal recognition particle sRNA small type". It matches the Rfam family "Bacterial small signal recognition particle RNA". From Rfam's summary of the family: The signal recognition particle (SRP) is a universally conserved ribonucleoprotein involved in the co-translational targeting of proteins to membranes. Archaeal SRP consists of a 7S RNA and homologues of the eukaryotic SRP19 and SRP54 proteins. In most bacteria, the SRP consists of a 4.5S RNA and the Ffh protein (a homologue of the eukaryotic SRP54 protein). Lineage: Bacteria; Pseudomonadati; Pseudomonadota; Alphaproteobacteria. The record is from RNAcentral.
GGAGUCCGGCGGCGGACGAACCGCUCGCCAACCCGGUCAGGUCCGGAAGGAAGCAGCCGUAACGAAUCCGGUUCGGGUUGUUGCCGGGCUCCCAC